Molecule: long non-coding RNA, 833 nt
Organism: Cavia porcellus (domestic guinea pig)
Lineage: Eukaryota; Metazoa; Chordata; Mammalia; Rodentia; Caviidae
Exons: 4
Source: RefSeq, a predicted model, not a curated record
GGAGGCUUGGGAUUGCAGAGGGCUCAACACGUGGGCAAAAAGGGAGCGGAAGGGUUAUCUCUGAAGCUAGAAAGAGAACACAGAAGUUACUCGAGGAGAGAUCAGUUGCUUUUCUGGGCCAGUUUCUUCCUAACCUGGAGCCUUGGAGAAGAGAGACCAACAGUCAGCAGAAGGAGAAAGGGAAAUGGUGGCAGCCCUGGUAGGACACGGACCUCCCUACAAACCACAGGCUCCUGAGGCAAAGACAGAGCUAUAAAUACCAGUCGGUGAAAAGCAGAACAGGGUACACCCCAUGGAUUGAUCCGCAGGCCAGAUCAAGUGGCACCCAGCGUGGGGGCUCCUAGCACGGGGGAGUCAACGGAGUCAACGAGGGAGCCGUUCGAGAUAGCUGGCUUAAAGUGAAAGCAAAUUAAACCAGAGACCAAGGUGACACAACUCUCCGGAGCCCUAUGCUGCCUACUCAGCCUUCUCCUUGAGCCGUACCACACCCAUGGUGGAUUUAGACCCCUGCCAAACAGACUACAACUGCUGACAGCCAUGCACAGAACCCCCUGUGACGGCGGAGGAGGCUCUUCUCGGUCUGGAGGAACAUAAACCAGCCAAAUAGACUGCGUCCGGUGUUAUGCGAGGCAAGCUCCACAAAAUUAAGAACGACUUCAACAGUGACAACAACAAAUGGCUGCCAACCCCUUCUCCUCGAUGUGUGUGUGUGUGUGUGUGUGUGUGUGUGUGUGAGCUUUUCCCUUACCUAGCGCCUCUUUUGGGUCCCCUAGCUGCCCUAUUGCUUCUUCUUUCUGUGAGUCCUUGUAUUUUUCAGAGGAUUAUGACGCUCA